This 1156-nucleotide long non-coding RNA is filed under the name Rattus norvegicus (Norway rat). RNAcentral's name for it is "long non-coding RNA NONRATT002109". The record is from RNAcentral. Lineage: Eukaryota; Metazoa; Chordata; Mammalia; Rodentia; Muridae.
UGGAUAGCCAACCUCGUUACAUGAUAUCUCAAAGGCACAUGCCACCCGGGUAAGUACUCUUGCUUUGGGGUCCUUGCUGUUGCUGUUGCAGUCACCCUGUCACCUGUUUAAAGCAUUGCCUUUUGGAUACAGCCUCUCUGCUGCCAAGUGAUAUGCAUGCAAAGAAGGUACCUGAGAGUGAAAUAGACCCUGCAUUACACUGUGCAAGAAAAACAACCAACAACCAACCAACCAAGCAAACAAAAACAAUUCUGGCCAAAGUCUUAGCAUGAAUACUAGGCUCCAUUAAAGGAUUACUAACAAAUACUACAAAGAAAAUGGAAUGGAUUAGGAAAUGAAAUGACCCAAAUCAGUGUUAGCUUGGAUAUCUACUUAUGAAAAGUGCAACUGUUCCCGCUUUCCUGAAAUACCCCGGGUAGUUAUUAAAUCCUGCUCACAUGCUGGAUUUGAAGAUUUUAGUCUCAUUAAUUGUAGCAAGAGGUUGCUAAUUACUCAUGCUUAAUGCCUUCCUGUAUAUCAUCCACUGAGCUGUGUGUACAAUGCUGAAGUGUAGAGGACUUGAUGUUGCUCCUCAAGCUUUAACCUGUUUGUCACAGUGUUUCUUGUGUGUGAUUUUAAAGAGUUUGCAAAAUGUUAAAACGUAUUUUACCGAAUUCGACUCUGUGAAAUUCAUUUUGAACGUGUCUGAUUUCUUACUUCCAUGCUCACCCUAUUUAGUGAUCUAUUUCCACAUUUUGCAUUCACUGAUGUAUUUAUUAGUGAACCACAAAAAGGUUCUGAGUACAUGAAUACAAGAGCAGCCCUGCUUGUCCAUUUUAUAAUACCAAAAUAUCUGUGGGUACUCAUAGUUGACUAGAAAAUCCAGAUUCUUUUUCUUGCAGCUCAAAAUUUUCUGGGUUUUUAUUCCAUUGAACCAAUUUCAUCAUUUACCUAUGUACAAUAAUAGACUUCUUGAAAGUGUUACAGUUUUUGCCAUGUAAUAGAUUUGAGCAUGACAAUACUGUAAGAAAACCCAGACGUCUGAGUUUUCAAAGGAAAUCAAAUAGGUGUUUUCAUUUAACUAUAUUGUGGCAAUUUAUGGGUAUUAUUGUAAAAUGCAUAUGCAUUACACUGAUUUUCUUAAUGUGUUUUGAAUUAAUAAAGAAUUCUCCCAUGU